Molecule: ribosomal RNA, 450 nt
Filed under: uncultured bacterium
Lineage: Bacteria
Description: partial 16S ribosomal RNA
Rfam family: Bacterial small subunit ribosomal RNA
Source: RNAcentral
CCUACGGGUGGCUGCAGUCGAGAAUCUUCGGCAAUGGGCGAAAGCCUGACCGAGCGAUGCCGCGUGCGGGAUGAAGGCCCUCGGGUUGUAAACCGCUGUCGUAGAGGAGAAAGGUCUGAUGAAGAAUCAGAUUUGAUCUAUUCUAGGAGGAAGUCGGGGCUAAGUUCGUGCCAGCAGCCGCGGUAACACGAACCCGACGAACGUUAUUCGGAAUUAUUGGGCUGCGAGGGUGCGUAGGCGGGUCGGUAGUGAAAGCCCUCGGCUCAACCGAGGAAGUGCGCUUCAUACUGCCGUGCUGGAGGGAGACAGGGGUAAGCGGAACUGAUGGUGGAGCGGUGAAAUGCGUUGAUAUCAUCAGGAACACCGGUGGCGAAAGCGGCUUACUGGGUCUCUUCUGACGCUGAGGCACGAAAGCUAGGGUAGCGAACGGGAUUAGAUACCCCAGUAGUC